UAUAGAUGGAUCCGCGCUGCAUUAGCUAGUUGGUAAGGUAACGGCUUACCAAGGCAACGAUGCAUAGCCGACCUGAGAGGGUGAUCGGCCACACUGGAACUGAGACACGGUCCAGACUCCUACGGGAGGCAGCAGUAGGGAAUCUUCCGCAAUGGGCGAAAGCCUGACGGAGCAACGCCGCGUGAGUGAUGAAGGUCUUCGGAUCGUAAAACUCUGUUAUUAGGGAAGAACAUAUGUGUAAGUAACUGUGCACAUCUUGACGGUACCUAAUCAGAAAGCCACGGCUAACUACGUGCCAGCAGCCGCGGUAAUACGUAGGUGGCAAGCGUUAUCCGGAAUUAUUGGGCGUAAAGCGCGCGUAGGCGGUUUUUUA
Molecule: ribosomal RNA, 373 nt
Filed under: Staphylococcus aureus
Lineage: Bacteria; Bacillati; Bacillota; Bacilli; Caryophanales; Staphylococcaceae
Description: bacterial SSU rRNA
Rfam family: Bacterial small subunit ribosomal RNA
Source: RNAcentral